RNAcentral lists this ribosomal RNA (492 nucleotides) under uncultured bacterium. Its description in RNAcentral is "partial 16S ribosomal RNA". It matches the Rfam family "Bacterial small subunit ribosomal RNA", at positions 29 to 507 of the family's 1533-position model. The record is from RNAcentral.
AGUGAACGCUGGCGGUAGGCCUAACACAUGCAAGUCGAACGGCAGCACAGUAAGAGCUUGCUCUUACGGGUGGCGAGUGGCGGACGGGUGAGGAAUAAAUCGGAAUCUACUUUUUCGUGGGGGAUAACGUAGGGAAACUUACGCUAAUACCGCAUACGACCUACGGGUGAAAGCAGGGGAUCUUCGGACCUUGCGCGAUUGAAUGAGCCGAUGUCGGAUUAGCUAGUUGGCGGGGUAAAGGCCCACCAAGGCGACGAUCCGUAGCUGGUCUGAGAGGAUGAUCAGCCACACUAGAACUGAGACACGGUCCAGACUCCUACGGGAGGCAGCAGUGGGGAAUAUUGGACAAUGGGCGCAAGCCUGAUCCAGCCAUACCGCGUGGGUGAAGAAGGCCUUCGGGUUGUAAAGCCCUUUUGUUGGGAAAGAAAAGCAGCAGGUUAAUACCCCGCUGUUCUGACGGUACCCAAAGAAUAAGCACCGGCUAACUUCGUG